GAGUCCAGGGGAUAAGGGUUGAUGCUCUCUAAUUUUCUCUCUCUAGAUUUCUCUCUCCUAAUGCAAGGAAUGGUUGAUUUGGCUUGAUUCCUUCUUCUCCUUGGUGCUAGCUGGUUUGGAACCUUGAGGGAUAGCUUCUGGAGCUAAGGGGGAGGUGUUGUGACAGAGUUCUUCAUCCUUACUGCAGAGAAAGGCUAAAGAGAGGCUUAGAAAGCUGGUUGAGAAGUGGUUGCAGCAGUGAGAAAGGAAAUACCUAGCUGUAAUUUCUCUAUUCUAGUUCAAGGAAAAGCGGAUUCAAAGCCUUAAGAAGCGAGGUCAAUAAAUUGAUCUCGGCUGAUAUUUAGAAGUCUUUGGAGAUUACACUGAGUGCCAUGGACUGAACCAAGACAGGGAUCUAAGCUAUAACCUGACAUAAGGGUAUUUGGUGGCACUCGGCUAACUUCUGGGAACUUACGAAAGUGGAAUUUGAUGUUUUAAGCUGGAUUAAACAUGGGCUAAAACUAUAACUGAGUACGAAGUGAGAAGUUGCUGAAAUAGGAUAUUUUAGUAAGCACUUCAAUGUAGUUUUAUAGCUAAUUCGUAGCAGGCUCGCAGCGGACUGUGUGUUAGAUCUCGGCUGAUUUUGGAAGGCUUUUGAAGCUGAAACUUGGAGCAUUCAUCUAAUCUGAACCAGGGGUUCAACUAUCGAAGGGUACAAGGGCUUUUGGAGAAUUGUGAAGAUUCAUACCUGCAGGUUGGACGUGAAUCGUCGACUAAUAGAGCCAGCUGCUACAGGAGAGACUAAGGAUCGUGGCAAGGGAGUCGCGUCUAACUAGAUAUAGCUUGGAGCUUGACUAGAUGAUCACCUUGCUACUCGGGCUACGGCCGAGGGUGAUGUACCCGUGUAUAGAGAGACUACCAUUGUACAUACAUUUUGACUGACCUUGUGAUGCAUUUGUGGUUUGCACCUGGGAUUACAGUGUUGAUGUUUCUCUAUGGAGUUGAGAUUCAGGGUUGUUUACA
Molecule: long non-coding RNA, 1002 nt
Organism: Ananas comosus (pineapple)
Lineage: Eukaryota; Viridiplantae; Streptophyta; Magnoliopsida; Poales; Bromeliaceae
Exons: 6
Source: RefSeq, a predicted model, not a curated record